UGGGAAAACUCAGGUGCUAAGGGAUGGGGCUGUAUUGUAUCAGCUAGUUGGUGGGGUAAUGGCCUACCAAGGCGAUGACGCAUAGCUGGUCUGAGAGGAUGAUCAGCCACACUGGAACUGAGACACGGUCCAGACUCCUACGGGAGGCAGCAGUGGGGAAUAUUGCACAAUGGGGGAAACCCUGAUGCAGCAACGCCGCGUGGAGGAUGACGCAUUUCGGUGUGUAAACUCCUUUUAUCGGUCAAGAAAAUGACGGUAGCCGAUGAAUAAGCACCGGCUAACUCCGUGCCA
RNAcentral lists this ribosomal RNA (291 nucleotides) under uncultured bacterium. Its description in RNAcentral is "partial 16S ribosomal RNA". It matches the Rfam family "Bacterial small subunit ribosomal RNA", at positions 199 to 510 of the family's 1533-position model. The record is from RNAcentral.